AUUGCUAGGAUCAUUCUGUCUGCAACUUCAAGAGCAGAGAUGAUGGUAUCCUAUGAAGAGCAAGACUCUGGAAAAAGUUACAUCUGAACUUGACUCCCAUUUCUGAGUCUUUACCUGCUACUUAUUCUUGGGCAUGUUUCUUCAACUCUUCUAAUCUUCAAAUUUCAUUAUCUGCAAUUUGGAGAGGAUCCAUCAGACAAGUGAGGUCACAGGGCGAAUCUCUGUUCCCAAAUUGAAGAGACUGACAGACAAAUACAGAGAAUCACAAUUUACCAGAGCAGAAACUCAUGAGCAGAAGCUGCCUCCAGAUCCAGUGCCAGGGCAAAGCAGUACAUAUACCACAGUUGCAGUGAGGCUCAAAUGAUAUAAAAUAUGCACAGCACUUCCAACAGGCCCAGCACACCAGCAAACACUGGAUGUCAGAUGUAUCUUCCAUCAGGACAGAAAGAUCCACCGUCUCCCAUCCUUCUGAAGAAUGAAUGUUUUGUUGACUCACACUUCACACCAGCGAAUUGGCUUUGCUAUUCAAUUUCUAGCAGAAAAGAUUGCCUAACGUAAUCUAUUCUAAAGGUUAAAGUCUUUGGACCUUGACCAGACAUCUGGAAUAGCUACACAUUGGAAGCAUUUUAAAGACGAUUGCCUUUAACUCAUAAUGACCAACAAUUCUCAAUAACUUUGUGAUAAGAAACAAUAGUCAAUAAUCUUCUUCAAGCAUUUCCUAUAGGAUGUGAUUCCCUAAUUAAAC
Long non-coding RNA from Canis lupus familiaris (dog), 745 nucleotides. RefSeq lists it as uncharacterized. Lineage: Eukaryota; Metazoa; Chordata; Mammalia; Carnivora; Canidae. The transcript is spliced from 5 exons. The record is from RefSeq and is a predicted model, not a curated record.